CUUUUCGCAUAUGGAGCAGCAAUCAGCUUACAACUAAAUCACAUCUGAGCACAAGCUGUCUCCACAAAGCCAACCAAAGAGGCAACAUUCACAGGCUGACAAAGCAUCCCUAAAGCAGGAAAGAAAAGAAGCCCCUGAGGCUGCUGCCCGGAGAAGGAAAAGGCUUUCAACAUUCAUACCAGUCUGUUGGGGCAUUGUGCAGACCACAGAGGGAGAGUAACUGAUGGAAUACUCUCUGAAGUUCACACUUGGGCGAAGCUGCAUGUUUAACAUCAGGAGUGGGAGGAAAGUUUAAAGAACCUUGCCAGUGAUGUAUUAUUAAAGAAGGAAGGAAGGAGGAAGAAUGGAAGGAGGAGGGAAGAAGAAGGAAGGAGGUGAGAGGUGUGCGGAGAGGAGAAAAAAACAAGGAAGAAUGGAGAAUUGUCAUUACUUACCAUAACCAUUUUGCCAUCCUUAAUUUCUCUUACAAAAUUUGUUUCUUUGCCAUCCCAUUUCUGUAUGUGAACAAGUUUGUCUCCAUCCAGGCUAACAACAGACUGAGACCAACAACAAAAUGCAGAACAUAGCAAUAAAUACAAUUCAGAUUUCUGAUACGGAAGACGAUGUGAUUUUUGAAAGAGUUGUAUAAUUGAAUAAAUCAUGAUCAGUUAAUUAUCCUAUUGUUAUUUCUAUUACUUCUAGAUUUUCUAUUAUGUAAAUUUGAAUUCAUAAUUUGAUUAAAAAGUAUACAUCUAAAUACAAAAAUUUAAUAUAUUAAAAACAAAAAUCCUAAACCAGUGCUUUGCAGCUAGUCGUCCCUCUAAAGAAAGCCUUAGAAUGAGGCAAACUGUCUAUUUAGUCAAUCUGAGGCAACCUGGGGAAUUAAACAAAAUGCAAUCUCUCUUUCAAACAAACCUUAUUAAAUAUUUUCUGAAAUACAAGUUUGAUAUAAAAUGUGAACAGUAUAUGGUAAGAGACAAAUACAACUGAGAUUUAUGCUAUAGCAAGUACCCAUUGUUCAAAAUAUAAC
This 1009-nucleotide long non-coding RNA is filed under the name Homo sapiens (human). Its description in RNAcentral is "non-protein coding lnc-SERINC1-8:1". The record is from RNAcentral. Lineage: Eukaryota; Metazoa; Chordata; Mammalia; Primates; Hominidae.